UGGGAAGCUCCUUUGGGCCUUUCUUCCUGUUUGGAGUCAAACCUGAGAGAGAGAACAUGAGGCCAGCGUUUGUUUGGUGUUUCAGUCGGCACCGUCAGUGCUGUGAUCCAGGUCAGCUCCGACUGAACGAGUCCAAAAGAGAACGAGCCGGAGGAUAGUAACAGGUGUUGAAUCCCAGUGACGUUGAUGGAUUUCUGAGAAGACCCGGGGGUCGACUGCGCUGCCCAAUCACACCAGCACGCUGCGGACCUCCACUUGUUAUGGACAAGCUGCUGACCUGCAACCACGCAACCUUGAUCUGCGAUUAUACAACCACGACCUGACACGUAUGGCCUCGGGAGGGAUGUCAUGGAAAAGCUCUCAGCGUUUCCCGCAGCACUGUUCCCACUGCAGGCCGACGCGCUCGGAGGCCUCUGGUUUCCCUUUGUAACUUCACAGACGCUGAAUCUUAGCCGGUUCUAUAAAACCCGGUCUUUAAAUGCGAGGCGGGCAGCAGGUGGGGGCUCCAUGCCAUGCCAGGAAUGCUGAGCAGGGGGAAGGACUCGGUGGGGGCGUAAAGAUGCCCAUUGGCACCGUGGAGGAGACCUCUGUGGAGCUGCUGUUUCAGGCUGCACGGCCAGUGGGAACGAGCUCGGCUCAGAGUCUCUACAUGUGAACCUGUCACUCUUGCAAUCUGGACGCUUGGUGGGGAAGGAGGGGUGUGUGUAUAGGGGGUGGAUUUAGACCAUUAGUUCUGGGCUGCCCAGGCACACACUCACAUGUGUGUGGAGAGUCACUGAGGUCUUUCUGCUAAUUAUAGGCUGAAAUCUGACAGAGAAAAAUUAGAGGGAAAAGGGACAGCUGCAGGGUCCUGUGGACAACGAAGGGAAGAGGAGAAGAGGGGGGAGGGGGUUUUGAUUUCUCACUAAAUCCUCCAACCCCCUCCUUGAGCCGAAAAACAAAAUUCAAUCAUCUUGGUGUCCUCCUCGCUCCCUUAUCCCCUCUCAACCCCACUCUCUCCCUCGUCCUCUCAGACAGGAGGUCGGGGGUCACUCCCAGAUGGGAUCAGAGCAGGUUUCACGGGACGUCCCAUCUUUUCCCUGAACUAAUGCUGUUUUCUAGGGGGAGCUUAGGCAGCAGCAGGAGCAGGAUUCUGAGACCUCCCCGGUGUGAAACUGGUCAGAUCAACCACUAGCGUAUCACGCACACA
Non-coding RNA from Paralichthys olivaceus (Japanese flounder), 1189 nucleotides. Lineage: Eukaryota; Metazoa; Chordata; Actinopteri; Pleuronectiformes; Paralichthyidae. The record is from RefSeq and is a predicted model, not a curated record.